Non-coding RNA from Podarcis lilfordi (Lilford's wall lizard), 71 nucleotides. The record is from the annotation of a GenBank genome assembly. NCBI's taxonomy places the organism in Eukaryota, Metazoa, Chordata, Lepidosauria, Squamata, Lacertidae.
GCUGGGAUAGCUCAGUUGGUAGAGCAUGAGACUUAAAUUCAGGGUUGUGGGUUUGAGCCCCAUGUGGGGUG